UCCGGCUCUACCAACUGUUGCUGCACCAGAGGGACCUGACCAUCCACGAGGCCGAAGAGCUGUGGCUCCGAGACUGGCAUGAGGACAGCAGGCUCCUCGGCUAUAAAAACACAGCCAGGGUCGGGGAGGUCUUUGGAAAGUUAUUCUCGG
Mauremys reevesii (Reeves's turtle) is the source of this 150-nucleotide long non-coding RNA. RefSeq lists it as uncharacterized. NCBI's taxonomy places the organism in Eukaryota, Metazoa, Chordata, Testudines, Geoemydidae. The record is from RefSeq and is a predicted model, not a curated record. The transcript is spliced from 3 exons.